Harpia harpyja (harpy eagle) is the source of this 1501-nucleotide long non-coding RNA. RefSeq lists it as uncharacterized. The transcript is spliced from 3 exons. Lineage: Eukaryota; Metazoa; Chordata; Aves; Accipitriformes; Accipitridae. The record is from RefSeq and is a predicted model, not a curated record.
GCAUCAAAUUGGCCUAAAUCUUUAGACAUGACAGUUUAUCUCUUCUGAAACAGAACAGACGUUCUGUGGUGGUGUAUCUCUUCCAUAGGCAGUGAAAGUCCCUUUGUAGACCAUUCUUUUUUAGGAAAUCCCCUUCUACAUGAUUUCUGUGCUUGCAUACAUUUAAUCCCAUAAAGUGAAUGUAUCUGACUUCCUUUGAAUAGACACCUCUCAGGCUAUUCGGAAGAUGGGACACUUGCUGUUCGUCAAAUUACAAACCCCUCAGCAGUCCAAGAGGUGGAUGGUUACAAGUUGGGACGGAGAGCAAGAUAGCAUGGUGCGAUCACUUCUGCAACCUGUUUUAAUAUAAUGGCUCUUCUCUGCUGUGGGUGUAUGUCUCAGAAGCCAUGCUGGUCCACGCAAAUGACAUAGAAGCCACCCCUCCUGGCAGUCCUCCUGUUGCACAUGGUAGAGGACCCCCUCCACCCCUCACACAAUCUUCUUUUACCAUUUCUCAUUGCCUUCAUCCCCCUGAGAAAAUCUGUCUGUAUGUUACUGACAACGUGUUGCCAUCGAUACCUAGUGCUAAUUAAGCUCUGGCUGCUACGAGAAAGUUUCACCAGUGGGUCUUGCUGAUUAUAAGCCAUAAAUACAAGACAACAAUUUCUGAGUAUUUCAAAUAGAGUUUAAUUCUUGACUACAAGUCCUUCCAAUCUGGUGGUCUGUGGAGUCUUUUGUCUUGCUUCCUGUAAAUAAACGUGACUGAAAAAGAAUUGAAUUCCUUCAUAACAUGUAAGGGAGGAAAAAACAACAUUUUCGUAUUGAAACUCAUGAAUGACAGCAGCUGAAAGUUAAAUCUAUUUGAUCGUUCCAUCAGCCUUCCAAGCCAACUCCUUAACUAGAUUGAAAUGUUUCAGUGGGAUGUUGAAAUGCUGAAUAUAUGUGGGAGGGAUCUACACUUUACAAUGCCCGGGACCGGGAAACAGUGUUGUUCACAGUGCACUUGUAAAAAAUAAUGUAAGUAAGUGUUUUCUUGCAAUCAGUAAGGUAUUGAUUCAAAAAAACAGGAUUUGAGAACAUACUUUACUAUAAAGAUCGUGUUCAAUCCACGCAUCUUGGAUAUUUGACUUGUACCUCAAUUUUAGAUGCCUGUUGAAUCACCAUUCCCAAAGUAAGGGCUGACGUUCUUUAAUAAAGUGGCGGGAUAGAGGUCUUCAAGAGACACCCAUCUCUUUCUUUAUAUGGACACCUUGAUGAACCAGUCCUCUUAAAGUAAGUGUUUAAAUGCUAAAGUAUAGCACCUAUAGUAGGCAGACUGUGUUGCAAAAAGAUUCACUAACCACAUUGCUGAUUUUUUUCCCUCAGAGCAAUUCCUUAAACUAUGAUUGUUGUAGUCUGAAAUAAUAAUAUAGUAUGCUGUUUGCUGUAUCUUUUAUGUAGUUGUUCCUACUUGCAGUCUAUAUUUGUUUAAUGGAGAAGCUCAAAAUGUAGUACACUGCUCCUGCUGAUCAAAGUCGCAAAA